RNAcentral lists this ribosomal RNA (361 nucleotides) under uncultured microorganism. RNAcentral's name for it is "bacterial SSU rRNA". It matches the Rfam family "Bacterial small subunit ribosomal RNA", at positions 9 to 366 of the family's 1533-position model. The record is from RNAcentral.
GUAGUUUGAUCUUGGCUCAGAUUGAACGCUGGCGGCAUGCCUUACACAUGCAAGUCGAACGGCAGCAUGAUCUAGCUUGCUAGAUUGAUGGCGAGUGGCGAACGGGUGAGUAAUACAUCGGAACGUGCCCUGUAGUGGGGAUAGCUAGUCGAAAGAUUAGCUAAUACCGUCAUACGACCUGAGGGUGAAAGUGGGGACCGCAAGGCCUCAUGCUAUAGGAGCGGCCGAUGUCUGAUUAGCUAGCUGGUGGGGUAAAGGCCCACCAAGGCGACGAUCAGUAGCUGGUCUGACGAGGACGAUCGAGCCACACUGGGACUGAGACACGGCCCAGACUCCUACGGAGGCAGCAGUGGGAAUUUGG